Molecule: long non-coding RNA, 136 nt
Organism: Hibiscus syriacus
Lineage: Eukaryota; Viridiplantae; Streptophyta; Magnoliopsida; Malvales; Malvaceae
Exons: 3
Source: RefSeq, a predicted model, not a curated record
AAAAGAAAUAUAUUAAUGUAAUGUUAAAGAAUGAGAAGAAUGGAGUGGUUCUGGAGUUGGAGGAUAACUGCUGCUAAAGAUUACAUGAAUAAGAGCAUAAUUUACAUAAAGCGGAAGGAUUUAGAUGUAAACUGCU